RNAcentral lists this ribosomal RNA (253 nucleotides) under uncultured bacterium. Its description in RNAcentral is "partial 16S ribosomal RNA". It matches the Rfam family "Bacterial small subunit ribosomal RNA", at positions 524 to 776 of the family's 1533-position model. The record is from RNAcentral.
UACGUAGGGGGCUAGCGUUGUCCGGAUUUAUUGGGCGUAAAGAGCGUGUAGGCGGCCAGGUAGGUCCGUUGUGAAAACUCGAGGCUCAACCUCGAGACGUCGGCGGAAACCAUCUGGCUAGAGUCCGGAAGAGGAGAGUGGAAUUCCUGGUGUAGCGGUGAAAUGCGCAGAUAUCAGGAAGAACACCCGUGGCGAAGGCGGCUCUCUAGUACGGUACUGACGCUGAGACGCGAAAGCGUGGGGAGCGAGCAGG